RNAcentral lists this ribosomal RNA (468 nucleotides) under uncultured bacterium. RNAcentral describes it as "partial 16S ribosomal RNA". The stretch from base 58 to 468 matches the Rfam family "Bacterial small subunit ribosomal RNA", at positions 39 to 507 of the family's 1533-position model. The record is from RNAcentral.
GGGGGGGGGGGGGGGGGGGGGGGGGGGGGGCGGGGGGGGGGGGGGGGGGGGGGGUGGGUGGGGUGCUCGGGUGGCGGAGGGGGGAGUGAGACGUGAGUAACCGGCCCUGGACUUUGGGGUAACUUCAGGAAACUGGGGCUGAUACCGGAUAGGAGCUCCUGCUGCAUGGGGGGGGUUGGCAAGUUUCGGCGGUUGGGGAUGGACUCGCGGCUUAUCAGCUUGUUGGUGGGGUAGUGGCUUACCAAGGCUUUGACGGGUAGCCGGCCUGAGAGGGUGACCGGCCACAUUGGGACUGAGAUACGGCCCAGACUCCUACGGGAGGCAGCAGUGGGGAAUAUUGCACAAUGGGCGGAAGCCUGAUGCAGCAACGCCGCGUGCGGGAUGACGGCCUUCGGGUUGUAAACCGCUUUCGCCUGUGACGAAGCGUGAGUGACGGUAAUGGGUAAAGAAGCACCGGCUAACUACGUG